This 615-nucleotide ribosomal RNA is filed under the name Mycobacterium tuberculosis. Its description in RNAcentral is "bacterial SSU rRNA". It matches the Rfam family "Bacterial small subunit ribosomal RNA", at positions 182 to 796 of the family's 1533-position model. Lineage: Bacteria; Bacillati; Actinomycetota; Actinomycetes; Mycobacteriales; Mycobacteriaceae. The record is from RNAcentral.
CGGGAUGCAUGUCUUGUGGUGGAAAGCGCUUUAGCGGUGUGGGAUGAGCCCGCGGCCUAUCAGCUUUGUUGGUGGGGUGACGGCCUACCAAGGCGACGACGGGUAGCCGGCCUGAGAGGGUGUCCGGCCACACUGGGACUGAGAUACGGCCCAGACUCCUACGGGAGGCAGCAGUGGGGAAUAUUGCACAAUGGGCGCAAGCCUGAUGCAGCGACGCCGCGUGGGGGAUGACGGCCUUCGGGUUGUAAACCUCUUUCACCAUCGACGAAGGUCCGGGUUCUCUCGGAUUGACGGUAGGUGGAGAAGAAGCACCGGCCAACUACGUGCCAGCAGCCGCGGUAAUACGUAGGGUGCGAGCGUUGUCCGGAAUUACUGGGCGUAAAGAGCUCGUAGGUGGUUUGUCGCGUUGUUCGUGAAAUCUCACGGCUUAACUGUGAGCGUGCGGGCGAUACGGGCAGACUAGAGUACUGCAGGGGAGACUGGAAUUCCUGGUGUAGCGGUGGAAUGCGCAGAUAUCAGGAGGAACACCGGUGGCGAAGGCGGGUCUCUGGGCAGUAACUGACGCUGAGGAGCGAAAGCGUGGGGAGCGAACAGGAUUAGAUACCCUGGUAGUCC